GACGAACACUGGCGGCGUGCUUAACACAUGCAAGUCGAACGGUAAGGCCCUUCGGGGUACACGAGUGGCGAACGGGUGAGUAACACGUGGGUGAUCUGCCCUGCACUUCGGGAUAAGCCUGGGAAACUGGGUCUAAUACCGGAUAGGACCACUGCCUGCAUGGGUGGUGGUGGAAAGCUUUUGCGGUGUGGGAUGGGCCCGCGGCCUAUCAGCUUGUUGGUGGGGGGAUGGCCUACCAAGGCGACGACGGGUAGCCGGCCUGAGAGGGUGACCGGCCACACUGGGACUGGGAUACGGCCCAGACUCCUACGGGAGGCAGCAGUGGGGAAUAUUGCACAAUGGGCGCAAGCCUGAUGCAGCGACGCCGCGUGAGGGAUGACGGCCUUCGGGUUGUAAACCUCUUUCAGCACCGACGAAGCGCAAGUGACGGUAGGUGCAGAAGAAGGACCGGCCAACUACGUGCCAGCCGCCGCGGUAA
This 478-nucleotide ribosomal RNA is filed under the name uncultured bacterium. Its description in RNAcentral is "partial 16S ribosomal RNA". It matches the Rfam family "Bacterial small subunit ribosomal RNA", at positions 28 to 523 of the family's 1533-position model. The record is from RNAcentral.